GGGUCUGCACCGGGAGACCCUCCGUGCGUGGUUCUGGCCCCGGCCCCCGCGGCAAGGAGCUGUGCAGGAGAUAGGCCAGUCGCAGCAAAUCCUGCCGGUGUGUUCUUCCCCUGCGUGUCCCGCCUGGGAGGGAGCUCUGGGCGCACUGCGGCCCGCGGUGAGGGUAGCAGGACACAGCCUGAUAAUUUAAGAUGUGUUGCAGAGGAAGUUCAUAAACACAGUGUUACCAUGUGGAGCAGAGGUUGGUUGACUACUUGCCUUGAUCUACAUCCUGGGGAAAGUGGCUAGAAGCAGGAUCCCACCUUUUAUUCACUUUGGGUAAGAGGUACCUUUACCUGUCCUGCUGAUGAGCUGAACAACAAACCAGAGGAAUGAGAAGCAGGAGCAGAGGCUGCCUGCCCAAGGCUGACCUUUUGGAGGACCUCUUGGAGACAACAGAGUGCUGGCCAGUGCCUGAGCUGCAGUCCCAUGAAUCCCACAUCUCCUGGAAGCACCUCCUGCACAGACCUGUCUCAUGCCACUCAUGACCCUGUCUCCUGCAGCAGCCUCUCUGACUCUCCCUGCCUGUCUGCCAUGAUGGUCAUGUCAGGCUUGAUCAUUUCCAAGCCUUAUUCCUACAGCCUCUGUUGUGUUUCAGCAGAACAUGCUGCAGAUCCCUGACCUCCAGGCUGAACUUUUUAAAAAGGACAAUUUCACCAAGUCCAAACCAGGUAUGAGCUGGCAGCAAACUGUCAGCAGAUCAUGUGCAUAAUAAGGAGAACAGUUUAAGGAUGUUCUACUAGAGAACCAAACCACCACAGGUUCACUCUGGAGAGGCCAGCCAGGCUUGCUUUAACCAGCUGGAUUUACAGGGGCUGGGAAAGGAGCUGGGAUGGAAAGGAAAGGCACUGUUGGCAGGAAGUCUGCCUCUCCUCUGGUGGGGCUGCUGCAGAGGGGUGAAUCAUGUCCCCAGGAUGGUGGGGAUGUAGUUCAAAGGGUUUCUGGGCCGAGCUGCUGUGCUUCCUGUAGGGCCUCCUGUCAUCUCCCUUGCAGGGCUUGGAGGUGGCAUUGGAACACAAGAUCCCUGUGAGCCCAGACAGAAGUGGCUGGAGGCAGGCAGGGCCUGUUGGAUUGUGGCUGGAGACAACAGGAAGGAGAAGGGAAGAAGAGACAGUGGGGACAAAGCUGUGGGAACACACAAGUCACAGAGAGCAGAGCCCAGGGCUCAGGUGUGACACCCUGCUUUGCACACCUUGUCACCACCACACAGACCCAAACACACAGAUCUGGUCCUCUGAGCUGGCACCAGCAGCAGCCAGCCCAUUUUUCAGCUGGCAAGUUCCCUACAUGUGGCAGCACAGAGAAAAUCCACCCUAAUGAAAUGCUUCCCUGCAGUAAUUGGAUUUCCACUGUAAAUGAAGUCAUUAUGCUGAUUGUCCUUGUGCUUUUGAAGAGGAGACAAUGCUGGUGAGCAGCAGCCCUGGCUGAUGGACACAUUUACAUAUCUCUGCCAAGGGAGCAAAGCAGAGGCACUUCCCUGGGCAGAACAGCAAGGGCCAGUGUGUGUGAGGUCGAGGUGGCCCCGUGGCUCCAAAUGCUUAUGGCUCUGCCCCAAAAAAUGUGCAGGGCAGAGGCUGUAAAGUGAUUCGUGCAGUGGCCAGAGGACUUUCAGGAGCGUAUCUCAGCUGUGGUGGCAUUCCUGGGCAUGACGUGCCCUCCCUGCCCAGGCUGAACCACAGGCACUUCCCAGUCCAUGGCUGAAAAGCUGCCAUGUCCAGCACUGGGAACACAGAGGUCUCCAAGGAUGAAACACAGAAGAAGCAGGGGAAGGGUGUGCACCACAGAUGUGUGUCAGCAGCAGAGGUGGGAUCAGGCCUGGGCUCCUCUCUGGGGUUUCCAUGGAGCUGGUUGGCUUUGGAGAUGUGGGCUGACCUGGUGCCAUCAAGGGAAAAGAGGUGAAGGCAAUUUCAGGGUGCUCUGGGAACACCCAUAAUUCAAGCUGGAGCCUGAGCAGGGCUUUGUCAUUGUGGUUCAAUCAACAGCACAUCUCUGUCUGUGCCAUCUCCUCCCUCCUUUGCUUUUAAGGUUCUUUAGUCACACAGGAAAAUGUCACACUAUAAAAAAACUCACAGAAUAAAACCAAAAAAGCCCAAGUGAAAUGAAAAAUGCAGCUGCAAUUCUGAGGUUGCUUUUCAGGCUGGCUGUGACCAAAAUCCUUUCAGCAAGUCUCAGGACCCAGGCCUCCCUUAGCUGUGCUGCUGGGCCAAACAGGGAUGUACAACUGGGAACAGAAGCCAAAACACUCUUUGGGACCAAGAUGCCUGGCUGGAUUGGGAACAGAGUAAAUCAACCAAAUCUAAAUUAGUGCUAUGAAUCAUCUGUGAAAGGUACAAACAACUGAGACAUCUGUUUGCCUUUACACCUCGAUUCUUUCCGUGAGAAUUCAUCGGGAUCAGUGGCGCAGCUGAUGGAGGACACAGAUCAGGAGCCACACCAAGGCUCUGCUCCCUGGGUGCUGCUGCCAUUUGCCAAAAGGGGCAACGUGUUCAGCCAACACAGACUGCUAGAGGCAGUGAGAUGGAGUGAGGUGCUUCUGCAGUCUCACCAUCCCUGUGGGAACACUUGUCUCUGCCCUCCUGAGCCCCUCAGGACUCACGUGGAACCAGGCUGGCCCAGGGACCUCGCUGACACUCAUGCAGGGUGCAGCUGAGGGCAGACACAUACCUGAGUCCAAGAAGGGAUUAGAAAGAUGGGCUCCGUGGUGGCUACUGAACACAAUGGUCCACAAGCUGCUGCCAGCUCCUCAGGUCCCUGCUGCUGGGGCACAGCCAGGAGAGGAUCAGCUCAGAGCUGCCCACUGACACCCCUUGCCCACAGCCCAGACGUUUUGGCCCUGCUUGGAGAGGAGGCAGUGGGGAUGCUGGGCUCUGCUCCACACCCUGGAGCCAUCCUGUUGUGCCCAGGCUAAGCUGCUUCCCUCAUCCCUUGCAGAGCCCUCAUGCCUGCCUGAGCCCCUUUCCCUUCCAGAGCCCAUCCCAGUUCCCAGGAGGGCAGCAGGGAGCUCUGUGCUGGCACAGCCAUGUUCCCAUCCCAGCUCCAGGACGCCUUGCCCUGCCGGGGAGUCCCCGUGUGUCCCCAUGGCCCAAGGCCAGCGGGCAGAGCAGAACCCAGCAGGGCCAGCUGGCAGUGGCAGGAGCUUCACAAAUCCUGUGGCGCCCGAGGAGACAGACGGUUUAUUUCAUCUCCAACCCAGUGCUGGGAAGGACCGUGUCCCUGUGGAGCUGGUGCAGAGCCAGGGCUUCUCCUGUGAAAGCAGCAGCAGAGCUCCUGCCGGGGGAAGCAGGGCCAGCCCUGGGAAAGCCCUGCCUGGGAGACUUUAGUGUUUUAGACAUUGUUCAGGGCUGCCAAAGCCCAGCUACAGCACUGGGCAGGAGCAACUUGGAGACACAGAGCUGUGUGCCCAUCACUGGAGCUGCAGGGACCUGUGGAUGUCCAGUCCCUGUCCCCUCCACCUGCCCCAUGUGCCACUGCAGGCUCUCCCGCGUUCCCUCCCACAGAGCUGCCUGCCUCCCCACCACGAGACAGAUGGGGUGGGGAACUGGGGCUGGAUUCAAGCUGCCAAGGGACAGUGCAUGGAUGCCAGGAGAAGGCUUUGAAGAAAUCUGGGCUUGAAGCCACUGCUGGAGCAGCAUGCCUGGGUCACAGCAGGAUGGGUGCAGGGCCUGCAUUAGGAGAGGAGUUGGCUGAGAGCGGGACCCCGCCCGUGCACAAUAUACCUUGAGGGCCUCUGUGCAAUGUGGAGCAAACCUGGGAAAAUCCUUGCCAAAGCCCUGUGGGACAGCCAAAAGUAAGGGAGACAGGACAUUUUCUUGGAAGGGAAACUUCUUGAGACUCUGCAAUCAGACAUACACAGGUGAGGAAACACGCAGGUGCUGGGGAAAUACCUGGGGUAUAUAUCAUAUAAAUCACAUCACCUGCUGUGACAGCAACCUCCUAAGGCCAUAGCUGGAGACAAGUAACAAGUGACAGCACAAGAGGAAACAGCUUUAAGUUGUGCCAGGGGAGGUUCAAGUUAGAUAUUAGGAACAAUUUCUUCCCCAAAAGUGUUACCAGGCCCUGGCCCAGGCUGCCCAGGGCAGGGAUGGAGUCCCCAUCCCUGGAGGGAUUUCAAAGGUGUGUAGAUGUGGUGCUGAGGGACAUGGGCUAGUGGCAGUGCUGGGUUAAUGGUUGGACUUGUUGAUCUUAAAGGUCUUUUCCAACCAAAAUGAUUCUAUGAUACGUGGACCAUGGGUUGAACAGCACAGCCAUUUCUCUGGUCUUGUCGCCCCCUUUGGUGGUGUUUGGCAGUUGAGAUCUUCCAAACGGGGCUCCUAGAAGAGAACUGCUGGAAAAUUCAGAGGAAAACAGAAAGUUUCAUCCACAGGCCAUCAAACAAGGCAGAAGCAAUUCAAUCCCACUCUGCCAUUCCCAGAGGGAAGAGGGAUGUGUUGGAUACCUCUUUGAUCUAAUGUAAACAGUGCAUGAUUAUAUCCAAUGGCUACAAGCACAAGUCUGAACAAUUCCUGCUGGAAAUCAGAUGCACAUUUUUAAGGGCAGUUAAUGAAUCACUGUAUCAGAUUUCCUGGGGAUGGGAUAAACUCUCCACCAGGCUCCUCAGGGGGGAUGUUCUCCCCUCACUGGGCCCUGCAGAACCUCCGACCAUUGCCUGGCCCAUGCUCAGCAGAUCAAAACUGCUGCACAGCUGGUGCCUCUGCCUUCAAACCCAGGAUAUGCAUUUUCCAGCAGAAAAUGAGCCUACACCUGAAGGGGAGAGCUACAAAUCCACUACUUUUUUAUUCAGAGUUUACUUGCAUAGCUGCUUCCCACAACAGGGAGCAGAUACCAACAUAUAACCCCACACUUUAAGACCUACAGGUUUGAAAAUAAGGGGCUGUGUAGAUCUGGCUUUGGUUCAAUUCAUCACUGAGACACUAUCUGCUCAGUGACCCGAGAUGCAAAAUCACCACACCUUCAUACAGCACAACACGGGCCCAGGGAAUACAAUUCCAAGGCUGUCAUUUCAUUUAUCCUCUGCAAUCAGAUUAGUAAAUUAAUAUAUGCCAAGCCCUGUCACUGUUACAGUCAGUGGAUAUUUCUCCAUGCCUGCAUCUGGAUGUCUGACAGUUUGUUUACAUGAUCACUGAGAUGAAAAACUCAAAUUAUUUGGCUCAGCAUCAAGAGCAGCCUCUAUUUUAGCCUCCUGCAGUGGCAGCUCCCAGUGAAUUUUAAUAAGCAUUUAACAAUGUGUGUGUGUCCUGUUGUUGUGGGUGGGAGUGUGUGGAAGGACUGGGUGACAUGCACCUAUCCUGGGAUACCAAGGGAUUAAUAACCUGCUUCCCGUGUGUCCUGCGUGGCUGAGCUGCCUCCCAAGGUGGCUCAUCCCCUCUAACAGCACAGGUGGCAGAGCUGGGUGCCAGAGCAUGGACCCUUCCCCAGCACGACCCUUCCCCACCUCCCAGCUUGUCCUCCUUGCAGUGACUCCCUGAGAGUCUCAUUAAAAAGGAAAGGGUUGGUGGUCACUGCCUGGUUCUCCUCCAUCCUUCUGGCAUGUUCUCCAGCACUGGCUCAUGUUGUCCACAAGCAACUGGUGUGGAGUCCCCUGCUUUGCCACUCAAGCAUCCAAGCCACUAGAUGGGUGUCAAUGGGGCUUUGCAAGCAACUGGGUUGGGUUUCCAGCUGCUCUGGGGCUCCAUGGAGCCUUGUGGCAGGCUUGGGAAGGGGCUUUGCUCCAACCCCACCUGUGUGGGAGGCUGCAGGGCCAUGGGGAGCCACGGGCCAUCAUGGCUGUGCUCCAACAGUUAACAUGUUGGAAGAAAUAGAGUGGGUUCACACAACCUGGGGGAGAAACAGGCCCAUGCCCAGGGGUGGAUGAGAUGGCAAAAACCCAGCAGCUCUGCUGGGGUGCUCAGGUGGCAGCCCCCAUCUGCUCAGGGGGUCUGUCUGUGUCCAGGGAUGAUUUAAUUUAGACAUUAGGAAGAAAUACUUCACUGUGUCCAGUUCUUGAGUCCCCAACACAGGAGGGCCAUGGAGCUGUUGGAGAGAGUCCAGAGGAGGCCACAGAGAUGAUCCCAGGGCUGGAGCAGCUCUGCUCUGGAGACAGGCUGGGAGAGUUGGGGUGUUCAGCCUGGAGAAGAGAAGGCUCGAGGGAGACCUGAGAGCACCUUCCAGUGCCUGAAGGGGCUCCAGGAAAGCUGGGGAGGGGCUUGGGACAAGGGCAGGGAGGAAUGGGAUGAGGGAUAAUGGAUUAAAUGGAUUAAAACUGUAAGAGAGGAGAUUUAGACAUUAGGAAGAAAUUCUUGGCUGUGAGGGAGGUGAGACCCUGGCCCAGGUUGCCCAGAGAAGCUGUGGCUGCCCCAUCCCUGGCAGUGUUGAAGGGCAGGUUGGAUGGGGCUUGGAGCAGCCUGGUCUAGUGGGAGGUGUCUCUGCCCAUGCAGGGGACUGGAACUAGAUGGUCUUUCCGGUCCUUCCCAACCCAAACCAUUCUAUGAUUCUAUGAAAGCAGCACCUUCUGCUGCUCAAAACCUUUGGAAGUUGAACGGUUUCCUUCUGCAAUUACCGUUUUGGAGGGAACUGUGGCAGCUGGGCUUCCCCAUCUCACCCUCCUCUAUCAUGCACACAGGGUGAGGAGCCACCCUCCAUGUGGGGUGCUCCAUGAUCUUGCUUCCCAAGAGCAUCCCUUCACUUAUAAAAUCCUCAGGCAUAUUGACCAGGCUCUGAAUUUCCACCCAUUGCUCCAGCCUGGCUCCAGCACCACUGGGGGCUCUGCCAUAUUUCUUUGUCUGUGGAUUUUAAAGUUUCCUGCAGCUGCUUGAAAUUUUUCCCAUGAAAAGUAAUUUCUCCUAUAAAUAUAAUGACUCAGUGAUGCUUGGGUAGAAUUUUCUUAUUUCUGGAAUCACUCUAAAAGGCAAAUGUCUUCUUCAUUCCUUACUUGGAUAAAGGUUUUUCUUUAGUAUCUGUUAUUUCCUGCUACUGCUCUUGUGAGUCAGGGCACCUUGCACAGACACUGUAGGGUUGUCUCAUGUCACAGAUGGUUAUUUAUGUGAGGGUGGAUAAUUACAGCCAUUAAUUGGGAAUUAAUUCAAGGCCAGGUUGGAUGGGGCUUGGAGCAACCUGGUCUCGUGGGAGGUGUCCCUGUCCAUGGCUGGAGGGGUGGGUCUGGAUGAUCUUGAAGGUCCCACCCAACCCAAACCGUCCUAUGAACCUGUGAAAUCCAGUGGGGACAU
Apus apus (common swift) is the source of this 7241-nucleotide long non-coding RNA. RefSeq lists it as uncharacterized. The record is from RefSeq and is a predicted model, not a curated record. The transcript is spliced from 4 exons. NCBI's taxonomy places the organism in Eukaryota, Metazoa, Chordata, Aves, Apodiformes, Apodidae.